GAGUCAGCAUGAGUCAUCUCGUUCCAAUGAGAAUGAAGGCUGAGGUGUGCGCCUUUUUUUUUUUUCCUUCUUAGUCGUGUGUACAUCAUUGGGAAUGGAGGGAAAUAAAUGACUGGAUGGUCGCUGCUUUUUAAGUUUCAAAUUGACAUUCCAGACAAGCGGUGCCUGAGCCCGUGCCUGUCUUCAGAUCUUCACAGCACAGUUCCUGGGAAGGUGGAGCCACCAGCCUCUCCCUGACAAGCAAAGUGGAUCAGCAAAGGCUGCAGUCACCAGCAUCUUUUCCAACCUUAAUGAACUGUAUCCUCAAAAGAACACUAUCAGACUGGCUCUGCCGACUUCCAGUUCUGGAACAAGAUGGUUAAACUCAUUUUUCCCUGCUCUGCUCCUCUAAAUACAACUAAGUACCUUGGAAACUAUUCAGCAGACAAUGAUAAAGGGCUCUGAAAGCUAGAAGAAAAGGUGUACUUGCAAGAAACCUCAGGACUUGAGUAACAGCAACAUGGAAAGGAGAAAGAGACUACCUACUGCAUUUCUGUCACUCGCUGAAAAGGACACUCUGUCAGAAAAUCUUCUAGCAAACUUCAAAGGGCAAAAUCACCCCUUGUUACUGAUAAAGCCCAGAGAGCUUCAGCAGCUAACAUUCCCUGGACAGGGCACAGCAAGGAUUUGAACCUAGGUCAGUCUGGCCAGAACACCCACAAGCUUUCCUUAACUCAGUGUGCUAUCUCCCCACGACUAGGUCACUACUGCUUUAUAAUCACCUUUGUAGCCACCAGUGGAUUUUGCUCAUCAGUAUUUUUCAGGCAAUUGAUACUUUAGAUAUUCAGCUGCAAGACGUAUGCAGUUUUCAUUGACAUCUUUUGGAGAAACUGACAAACCUGGACUUGACUUAAUGCCUUUGGAACCUUCCAAGAUGUUAUAUAACUCUAGAUAGAAGGCUGGGCCUCCAUGAUGUCAGGAAUGUUGCAUUCUUAUUUCCCCAUAGAUAAACCCAUUUGUCCACAAAGUCAAGGAGUCAGGCAGAGGCCCUUGCCAUGGGGCUUUUUAGGAUAAAGCAACAAGCCUGGACUUUGCUCUACAACAGGGUUUUGCAUAGGGAGUGGUAUGACCAGAUCCCUCAAGAAAGAAAGCUUAGAGACCAGGCCAGAGUCCACUGCAGUAGCCCAGUCAAGAGAGGAUGGUGACUUGGACUUGUAGUAGAGCCAGUUAGAAUGAAAGAAAUUGACACAUUCAGAAAUGGUUUUAGAGAUAGAGUCAAACUGGACCUGAUAAAGAACUAGAGAAGCGGAGUGAGGAUAAAGAGAAGAGCCAUGACUGACUCGGAAGAUUUUGUCUUGAAAAACUUGAGAACUCAAGACAGAGUGAAAUAAAAUCACAUGUGGGAAAAAUCUCCUGCUUUGUUUUGGACUACUUUGAAGUGAAAUGCCUGUUAAGCCUAAGUGGGGUAGGUCAUGGCGUACAUGACUGUGGGCUCAGGAUGGAUACAGGCAUUCAGGAGUUGUGAGCAAAUAGAACUUAAAGCCAUGAGAGAAGAAGGGAUCACCAAGAGAGACAGUGUGGCAUAGAGAAGAAAAGGGGUGGAAGACGAUCCCUGGGCAGAAAAGUCCUUAGAGCAGAGGCAACAGGCAUGACCAAGAAGACUAAGAAAGAACAUUCAGUACAGCAGGAGGAGAGCAAAAAAUGUGUGGUAUUCUAGAAGCAAAGAGAAUAAAGGGCUUCAGGAAGGAGC
Homo sapiens (human) is the source of this 1729-nucleotide long non-coding RNA. Ensembl annotates it as MIR4435-2 host gene. NCBI's taxonomy places the organism in Eukaryota, Metazoa, Chordata, Mammalia, Primates, Hominidae. The record is from Ensembl.